This 780-nucleotide ribosomal RNA is filed under the name Triticum aestivum (bread wheat). RNAcentral's name for it is "partial small subunit ribosomal RNA". Lineage: Eukaryota; Viridiplantae; Streptophyta; Magnoliopsida; Poales; Poaceae. The record is from RNAcentral.
AUGGAUGGCCAUUCCUGUGAUCUUGGGAGCGUGCCGGCAGUGGCAUCUGAUGGUGCGGGUGCCUCUUCUGCUGUCGCCGGCGGCACGGACAUUUCUCCAGGGAAGCAGUCUGCCCUGGAUAGAGCUUCGGGACAGGGGGAGAAUGCAGAUUGUUCAGUGGAGGCUGGAAUGUGUGCAGGUUUCUCCAAGCCGGUUGGCUUGGGGUUGAAGAAGGACCUCCAGAAGUGCGCAACGUUUCCGUCAUCGUCAUCUGCCGCUGAGGCCGAACCGGAGGACUCAUGCUGUGAUGCCGAUGAUGACGCGCCGAAGGACGCGCACACUUACCAGCGCUCUGUGUCCUUGCCUCCAACUGUGAAGCUCAUCCCUGCUAUCAAAGGAAGCCGCCAAAAGAAUGGGAUUCCUUUACCAGCAGAGGAUCGCCACAUCAAAUGGGCGGCCGACGUGUAUGACCCCCCUGUUUCAUCCGUUUCUCAUUCUGUGAACAACAGUUACCAGCGGCGGCCAAAGCCUCGUAAGAAGGACAAGACCAAACAGAAAGAGAAGCGGAAGGCCAGGAACAAGAAAAAAACCAACAACGCUGCCCAGAAUCCAGCUGUGCUCCAGACUCCUGGACUGGAAGACCUUGGCACCUCCAUUGGUAGCGAGGCCCAAGCCGAUCCUGGCAAAGUUGAGACCGAGAUGUUGGACUAUGGCAUCAGCAGCCAAGAGGUGAAAUGCGGAACCAGCUUCCUGCUCGAGUCGGCUGCUAAAAUGCAUUUCUCCACCGCCGAGGCCUCCUGA